CAUGCAAGUCGAACGGGCUUAAGGGGCUUGCUCCUUAAGUUAGUGGCGAACGGGUGAGUAACAUAUCGGAACGUAUCCAAUAAUGGGGGAUAACUAAUCGAAAGGUUGGCUAAUACCGCAUACGCCCUACGGGGGAAAGCAGGGGAUCUUCGGACCUUGCGUUAAUGGAGCGGCCGAUAUCUGAUUAGCUAGUUGGUGGGGUAAAGGCUCACCAAGGCGACGAUCAGUAGCUGGUCUGAGAGGACGACCAGCCACACUGGAACUGAGACACGGUCCAGACUCCUACGGGAGGCAGCAGUGGGGAAUUUUGGACAAUGGGCGCAAGCCUGAUCCAGCCAUUCCGCGUGAGUGAAGAAGGCCUUCGGGUUGUAAAGCUCUUUCGCAAGGGAAGAAACGUUACGGGUGAAUAGCCCGUGAUAAUGACGGUACCUUGAUAAGAAGCACCGGCUAACUACGUGCCAGCAGCCGCGGUAAUACGUAGGGUGCGAGCGUUAAUCGGAAUUACUGGGCGUAAAGCGUGCGCAGGCGGUUUUGUAAGUCAGAUGUGAAAUCCCCGAGCUCAACUUGGGAACUGCGUUUGAAACUACAAGACUAGAAUAGGUCAGAGGGGGGUAGAAUUCCACGUGUAGCAGUGAAAUGCGUAGAGAUGUGGAGGAAUAUCAAUGGCGAAGGCAGCCCCCUGGGAUCAUAUUGACGCUCAUGCACGAAAGCGUGGGGAGCAAACAGGAUUAGAUACCCUGGUAGUCCACGCCCUAAACGAUGUCAACUAGUUGUUGGUAGAGUAAAAUCUAUGAGUAACGCAGCUAACGCGUGAAGUUGACCGCCUGGGGAGUACGAUCGCAAGAUUAAAACUCAAAUGAAUUGACGGGGCCCGCACAAGCGGUGGAUUAUGUGGAUUAAUUCGAUGCAACGCGAAAAACCUUACCUGGCCUUGACAUGUACGGAACUUUCAGAGAUGAUUGGUGCUCGUAAGAAGACGUAACACAGUGCUGCAUGUCUGUCGUCAGCUCGUGUCGUGGAGAUGUUGGGUUAAGUC
RNAcentral lists this ribosomal RNA (1036 nucleotides) under uncultured bacterium. RNAcentral's name for it is "bacterial SSU rRNA". It matches the Rfam family "Bacterial small subunit ribosomal RNA", at positions 54 to 1086 of the family's 1533-position model. The record is from RNAcentral.